GACGAACGCUGGCGGCGUGCCUAAUACAUGCAAGUCGAACGAGAGCGACCGGUGCUUGCACUGGUCAAUCUAGUGGCGAACGGGUGAGUAACACGUGGGUAACCUGCCCAUCAGAGGGGGAUAACAUCCGGAAACGGAUGCUAAAACCGCAUAGGUCUUCGAGCCGCAUGGCUUGAAGAGGAAAAGAGGCGCAAGCUUCUGCUGAUGGAUGGACCCGCGGUGCAUUAGCUAGUUGGUGAGGUAACGGCUCACCAAGGCCGUGAUGCAUAGCCGACCGGAGAGGGUGAUCGGCCACAUUGGGACUGAGACACGGCCCAAACUCCUACGGGAGGCAGCAGUAGGGAAUCUUCCGCAAUGGACGCAAGUCUGACGGAGCAACGCCGCGUGAGUGAAGAAGGUUUUCGGAUCGUAAAACUCUGUUGUUAGAGAAGAACAAGUGCUAGAGUAACUGUUAGCGCCUUGACGGUAUCUAACCAGAAAGCCACGGCUAACUACGUG
This 498-nucleotide ribosomal RNA is filed under the name uncultured bacterium. RNAcentral describes it as "partial 16S ribosomal RNA". It matches the Rfam family "Bacterial small subunit ribosomal RNA", at positions 28 to 507 of the family's 1533-position model. The record is from RNAcentral.